RNAcentral lists this ribosomal RNA (505 nucleotides) under uncultured bacterium. RNAcentral describes it as "partial 16S ribosomal RNA". It matches the Rfam family "Bacterial small subunit ribosomal RNA", at positions 28 to 507 of the family's 1533-position model. The record is from RNAcentral.
GACGAACGCUGGCGGCGUGCCUAAUACAUGCAAGUAGAACGCACAGUUUAUACCGUAGCUUGCUACACCAUAAACUGUGAGUUGCGAACGGGUGAGUAACGCGUAGGUAACCUGCCUGGUAGCGGGGGAUAACUAUUGGAAACGAUAGCUAAUACCGCAUAAUACUGAUUAUUGCAUGAUAAUUGAUUGAAAGAUGCUAUUGCAUCACUACCAGAUGGACCUGCGUUGUAUUAGCUAGUAGGUGAGGUAACGGCUCACCUAGGCGACGAUACAUAGCCGACCUGGGAGGGUGAUCGGCCACACUGGGACUGGGACACGGCCCAGACUCCUACGGGAGGCAGCAGUAGGGAAUCUUCGGCAAUGGACGAAAGUCUGAACGAGCAACGCCGCGGGAGUGAAGAAGGUUGUCGGAUCGUAAAGCUCUGUUGUAAGGGAAGAACGGGUGUGAGAGUGGAAAGUUCACACUGUGACGGUAUCUUACCAGAAAGGGACGGCUAACUACGUG